CCUACGGGAGGCAGCAGUGAGGAAUAUUGGUCAAUGGACGAGAGUCUGAACCAGCCAAGUAGCGUGAAGGAUGACUGCCCUAUGGGUUGUAAACUUCUUUUAUAUGGGAAUAAAAUGUUCCACGUGUGGGAUUUUGUAUGUACCAUAUGAAUAAGAAUCGGCUAACUCCGUGCCAGCAGCCGCGGUAAUACGGAGGGUCCGAGCGUUAUCCGGAUUUAUUGGGUUUAAAGGGAGCGUAGGUGGAUUGUUAAGUCAGUUGUGAAAGUUUGCGGCUCAACCGUAAAAUUGCAUUUGAAACUGGCAGUCUUGAGUACAGUAGAGGUGGGCGGAAUUCGUGGUGUAGCGGUGAAAUGCUUAGAUAUCACGAAGAACUCCGAUUGCGAAGGCAGUUCACUGGACUGCAACUGACACUGAGGCUCGAAAGUGUGGGUAUCAAACAGGAUUAGAUACCCGGGUAGUC
RNAcentral lists this ribosomal RNA (460 nucleotides) under uncultured bacterium. RNAcentral describes it as "partial 16S ribosomal RNA". It matches the Rfam family "Bacterial small subunit ribosomal RNA", at positions 338 to 795 of the family's 1533-position model. The record is from RNAcentral.